UUUUUUUGUGGGGGAGGGGGUUUCUGAGACAAGGUUUCUCUGUGUAACAGCCCUGGCUGUCUGGGAAUUCACACUGUAGACCAGACUGGCCUAGAACUCACAGAGAUCCGCCUAUCUCCGGCUCCUGGGUGCUGGGAUUAAAGGAAUGUACCACCACCACACAGCUCCUCCAUCACUUUUUAAGUCAAGGGGCUGGAGAGAUGGCUCAGCAGUUAAGAACACUGACUGUUCUUCCAGAGGUCCUGAGUUCAAUUCCCAGAAACCACAUGGUAGCUCACAGCCACCUUGAAUGAGAACUGGUGCCCUCUGCUGGCAUGCAGGCAGAAGACUGUAUGCAUAAUAAUAAAUAAAUAAAUAAACUGUUUUAAAAAAAUCUGCCUUUCCUACUAAAAUGUAAAUUCUAGAAGGCUGUGUCUGACUGUCUGAUGUCAGAGACUCUGCCUGACAUAUAGAAAUACAGAAUUGUUGUGCAACCUUAAGCCUCAUAAAAGAUCCCUGAUUCAAAUUCACCUCUAGCUCUGUACAACAGAAUUAACAGCCACUUUUGUAAAUGAAGAAACAAACUGACAUGCAGUGAAUUAUUCAGCUAUGGUCAAUCCAUUCAAAAAGAUGCAGUGGAAUUUCAGAUAUACACUGAGCUGAAAUCGGGAAUUUAGUUGAAGAGAGGGAGGAAUGAAGAACGAAGGGGUCUGUACCAGGUUGGAGAAACCCACAGGAACAGUUGGCCUGAACAAGGGAGAGCACAUCGACCCCAGAUGCUGUCGGGGAGACCAGUACAAGACCUAUCCAGACCCCUGAACAUGGAUGUCAAUAAGGAGGCCUCUGCACUCCAGGGAGCCUCUGGUGGUGGAUUAGUAUUUUACCCUGGUGCAAGAAGGGAUUUUGAGAGUCCAUCCCACGUGAAGGGUUACACUCUGGCCCUGGACACAUGGGGAAGGGCCCAGGACCAGCACAGGAAGAUUUGGU
RNAcentral lists this long non-coding RNA (966 nucleotides) under Cricetulus griseus (Chinese hamster). RNAcentral describes it as "lncRNA (ENSCGRG00015040745.1)". The record is from RNAcentral. Lineage: Eukaryota; Metazoa; Chordata; Mammalia; Rodentia; Cricetidae.